Molecule: ribosomal RNA, 466 nt
Filed under: uncultured Glomus
Lineage: Eukaryota; Fungi; Glomeromycota; Glomeromycetes; Glomerales; Glomeraceae
Description: SSU rRNA
Rfam family: Eukaryotic small subunit ribosomal RNA
Source: RNAcentral
AGCAGCCGCGGUAAUUCCAGCUCCAAUAGCGUAUAUUAAAGUUGUUGCAGUUAAAAGCUCGUAGUUGAAUUUCGGGAUCAAAUUGUUGGUCGUGCUUCGGUACGCACUGGCAUUAUUGGUUCCUACCUUCUGAAGAACCGCGAUGUCAUUAAUUUGGUGUCGUGGGGAAUCAGGACUGUUACUUUGAAAAAUUAGAGUGUUUAAAGCAGGCUUACGCUUGAAUACAUUAGCAUGGAAUAAUGAAAUAGGACGUUUGAUUCUAUUUUGUUGGUUUCUAGGAUCGACGUAAUGAUUAAUAGGGAUAGUUGGGGGCAUUAGUAUUCAAUUGUCAGAGGUGAAAUUCUUGGAUUUAUUGAAGACUAACUACUGCGAAAGCAUUUGCCAAGGAUGUUUUCAUUAAUCAAGAACGAAAGUUAGGGGAUCGAAGACGAUCAGAUACCGUCGUAGUCUUAACCAUAAACUAUGC